This 27-nucleotide non-coding RNA is filed under the name Mus musculus (house mouse). The record is from RNAcentral. Lineage: Eukaryota; Metazoa; Chordata; Mammalia; Rodentia; Muridae.
ACCUUUAAAAAUUUUAAUACUGGGGAC